RNAcentral lists this ribosomal RNA (253 nucleotides) under uncultured bacterium. Its description in RNAcentral is "partial 16S ribosomal RNA". It matches the Rfam family "Bacterial small subunit ribosomal RNA", at positions 524 to 776 of the family's 1533-position model. The record is from RNAcentral.
UACGGAGGGGACUAGCGUUGUUCGGAAUUACUGGGCGUAAAGCGCACGUAGGCGGAUUUGUAAGUCAGGGGUGAAAUCCCGGGGCUCAACCUCGGAACUGCCUUUGAUACUGCAAAUCUCGAGUCCGGAAGAGGUGAGUGGAAUUCCUAGUGUAGAGGUGAAAUUCGUAGAUAUUAGGAAGAACACCAGUGGCGAAGGCGGCUCACUGGUCCGGUACUGACGCUGAGGUGCGAAAGCGUGGGGGGCAAACAGG